UUACAUUCUAUUGGCAUCCAUACCAGAAACCCGAUGAGCCACAUUUAUAGUCAGUGGGAUCUUUCAGGAACCAAUGGGGGACCAAAAUUGCUGGAUCUGGCAAUUCUGUUUUUUUUUUCCUAUACUAGACCAGAAAAUGAAGUCUUAAACAAUUAUUCGUACCACAGGUGAGGAUAAUGGAGAAAUGUCCUUUUUGUCUAGUUGUCUGGUAGAAGAUUAAGUUACACAGGAAUGCAUGAACACCGAUAAGUAUUAUGACAGACGUCACUGGCUGACAAUUGCCAUGGUUAUUCUUCUGGUCAUAGACACUGACAUAGGAGAUGCCCAGUGCCGUACACCACACUAUGCUUUUAGUAGGAAUUCUGCUCUAGGCAGACCUUCUGCUGCACUUUUAAAUGGAUUAUCCCAUGAUAAAUAUAAAAAUGACGAAUCCAACAUCAAACAGUAGGUGACAAUCUUACUAACAUGGCUAGAACCAGCACUAUACUUCACAUUGAGGCCUCAUGCGCACCGCCGUUGUGUGGCCGUUCCGUGCAUUGGGGACAGCAGUUUGCUCUCUCCCUGUAACUGCUGCAGCUUCUAACAGUAGAAUUGGUUGGUGUCAGUUGAAGGAUGGAACUAAGCAUGUGCCAUCCACCUCAGAGGUGGGCAGAAAUAAGGAAAAUAUCAAAACAGCAGAUGACGCUAUUCAUAUACAUUUUAUUGAAUAAUUCAGUGGCUAGGCUUAAUUUUUAAUGAAGUGCAAUUACAAAAGUAAUAACAUUCGGAUGCUGGUCUGAAAAAUAUAGAAUAGUUUUUGUGGAACAAUUUCUUAAAGUGCCCAGUCUGAGGAAGGGCAGUAGUGCCUGUGGUACACUAACUAGGAAGCGCUAGUGCCACACUGCACACGCUAAACCAGGAGUGGAGCAACUUCUUGCCUUCGCUUCCUCCACAAAUGUAAGCCUGCAGUCUGAAUUAUCCCCUUCCUGCCCAGACUAUAGCAGGAAGGGAUUAAUAAAAAAAUUUCCAUAAAAAAAAAAGUUAAAAUAUAAAGUGAAAUAAAGAAAAUUGCAAAUGUUGUAGCUAUAGUCACUAGUUUUAGCAAUAGUAUAGCAGACUUUGUAUAACAUGUACACUCACUUUCCCCCCCCCCCCCUUUUUUUUUUUUUUCUUUCAUAAAAAAAAUAGUUAUUCAUUUUAGCUAUAUUUAGUAUGGGGGGGGGGGGGGGGAUUUGUAUAAAAUAGAAAAAGUAAAUAAAGGCCAAAAGCUUAAAAUAUCCAAAGUUGCUCAAAAUAAAUACAAUUAAGGGUCUUGCUGGAUAAAUUGCACGAAUAGUGUCCAUGGUCUUAGAAAUGUUUUCUCUUGAAAUUUUUUGCAACAGAAAAAAAAAAUGUAUCGUUUUCUGUAAUUUAAAAAAAAUAUAUAUUUUAUUUGUCACCUAAUGGCACAAAAGAAAGGUCUAAGUGUCCUGUGAAAAAUCAGAUACAUGUAGGCUGGCUCAGAAAGUAGUUAUUUACAGUGCUAGGCCCCAAAUUGGACUGGUAAGGAAAUGGUUAAACUAGAAAUUGCUACUGAAAAAUACUAGAAAGUAUUUUUAUUUCACAAAGCUAUGUAGCUAGUUCUAGUUGGUGCCUUUUUUUUUUUUUUAAACAUUGUACGAAGUAAAAUACAAUUCGUUUUAACAACAUCAGUGAUUUCUGAUGAAUCACACGGCCAUUUUUCUUCUCUCCUGACCGGCCACGCACAAACUGGUGAGAGAAAGUGUAUUUGUAUUUCAUUGG
Long non-coding RNA from Bufo bufo (common toad), 1761 nucleotides. RefSeq lists it as uncharacterized. Lineage: Eukaryota; Metazoa; Chordata; Amphibia; Anura; Bufonidae. The transcript has 2 exons. The record is from RefSeq and is a predicted model, not a curated record.